This 327-nucleotide long non-coding RNA is filed under the name Cricetulus griseus (Chinese hamster). Its description in RNAcentral is "lncRNA (ENSCGRG00015033772.1)". The record is from RNAcentral. Lineage: Eukaryota; Metazoa; Chordata; Mammalia; Rodentia; Cricetidae.
GAUGAAACUAGGAGAAACCAUCCUGAAUGAGUUAACUCAGUCACAAAAAGACAAACAUGAGCCUUCAUCCAGUAGCUGAUGAAAGCACACCCAGACACCCACAGCUAAGCACUGAGCCGAACUCCAGGAAUCCAGUUGAAGAGAGGGAGGAGUGAAGAGAAAAGGGAACCUACACCCAGUAACUGAUGGAAGCAGAUGCAAUGACCCACAGCCAGGCACUGUGCUGAGCUUCGGGAAUUCAGCUGAAGAGAGGGAAGACAGAUCCCAUGAAGAAUGAAGGUCAAAAUCAUGAUAGAGAAAACCACAGAGACAGCUGACCCAAGCUAG